This 461-nucleotide ribosomal RNA is filed under the name uncultured bacterium. Its description in RNAcentral is "partial 16S ribosomal RNA". It matches the Rfam family "Bacterial small subunit ribosomal RNA", at positions 33 to 507 of the family's 1533-position model. The record is from RNAcentral.
AUACACGCUGGCGGCGUGCUUCACACAUGCAAGUCGAACGAAGUUUUUCUUUCGGGAGGAACUUAGUGGCGGACGGGUGAGUAACGCGUGGGUAACCUGCCCUGUACAGGGGGACAACAGCUGGAAACGGCUGCUAAUACCGCAUAAGCCCUUAGCACUGCAUGGUGCAUAGGGAAAAGGAGCAAUCCGGUACAGGAUGGACCCGCGUCUGAUUAGCCAGUUGGCAGGGUAACGGCCUACCAAAGCGACGAUCAGUAGCCGAUCUGAGAGGAUGUACGGCCACAUUGGGACUGAGACACGGCCCAGACUCCUACGGGAGGCAGCAGUGGGGAAUAUUGCACAAUGGAGGAAACUCUGAUGCAGCGACGCCGCGUGAGUAAAGAAGUAUUUCGGUAUGUAAAGCUCUAUCAGCAGGAAAGAAAAUGACGGUACCUGACUAAGAAGCACCGGCUAAAUACGUG